GGGGGCGAAAUGGCUUCGACGGGGAUAAAGAAGCUUAGGCUGCAUACCGAGCUCCUAUCGGCUCGUAAAAAUGGUGGGAACAUAAAUAUAAUCGCAGAUGAUUAUGAAUUAGCCCUGGCC
RNAcentral lists this transfer-messenger RNA (120 nucleotides) under Deltaproteobacteria bacterium. Its description in RNAcentral is "partial transfer-messenger RNA". It matches the Rfam family "transfer-messenger RNA", at positions 1 to 122 of the family's 374-position model. Rfam says of the family: Bacterial tmRNA, also known as 10Sa RNA or SsrA, is named for its dual tRNA and mRNA-like properties. Its role is to liberate the mRNA from a stalled ribosome. The record is from RNAcentral. Lineage: Bacteria; Pseudomonadati; Myxococcota; Myxococcia. RNAcentral also lists the same sequence under 1 other name.